GACGAACGCUGGCGGCGUGCCUAAUACAUGCAAGUCGAACGCUUCUUUCCUCCCGAGUGCUUGCACUCAAUUGGAAAGAGGGGUGGCGGACGGGUGAGUAACACGUGGGUAACCUACCCAUCAGAGGGGGAUAACACUUGGAAACAGGUGCUAAUACCGCAUAACAGUUUAUGCCGCAUGGCAUAAGAGUGAAAGGCGCUUUCGGGUGUCGCUGAUGGAUGGACCCGCGGUGCAUUAGCUAGUUGGUGAGGUAACGGCUCACCAAGGCCACGAUGCAUAGCCGCCCUGAGAGGGUGAUCGGCCACACUGGAACUGAGACACGGCCCAGACUCCUACGGGAGGCAGCAGUAGGGAAUCUUCGGCAAUGGACGAAAGUCUGACCGAGCAACGCCGCGUGAGUGAAGAAGGUUUUCGGAUCGUAAAACUCUGUUGUUAGAGAAGAACAAGGACGUUAGUAACUGAACGUCCCCUGACGGUAUCUAAACAGAAAGCCACGGCUAACUACGUG
Molecule: ribosomal RNA, 508 nt
Filed under: uncultured bacterium
Lineage: Bacteria
Description: partial 16S ribosomal RNA
Rfam family: Bacterial small subunit ribosomal RNA
Source: RNAcentral